CCUGUCACCUUCCUGUGCUUCCGCCUGCAAUGGCAGAGCAGAACAUCCCAAAUGCAAGUCAGCUCGUCAAGCCUUAUUUUGUGAAAUUCCGCCUCCGAGUAAUAUUGCACGAAUCCGACGCCCUGAGAUGAAUCACCACAAUCCAACUGCAGUGCACCCUGGCAAACAUGCAGCUGAGACACCAGCCUCAGUCUGAUCUUGCCAAGUGGCCUGUGUUCAGGAAAGGAAGCAGAGAAGCUGCCAGGAGGCACAGAGUCAGACUGCACAGUGGGGCGACAGUUGACAAGGACCAGGAGCUCUGCCACUCGAUGGGCUCACUCUUUGUUGCUUUUGCUCCGACGAACUCAAAGGGCUCUCGGUGACUGUACUGCAGCCGACAGGUGCAAUUACAGAUUGAUACACGGAUGCGCAACACUGGAACAGGCACUACUUAGCCAGCCCCUGUCGCCAGGCUAUGGUUUGGGUCCUACAGGUUGCGGGAGAAACCAUUUUGCCGGCGAGAAAUCAAAACAAGAGCAUCCCUUAUGCAGAUCCAAGACGUGAGGGUCUCCAAGGCGGGGAGGAAGAAAUGACUCGAAAGGCUGAAGUGAGCUUGUGGUCUUUAUACUUCAGUAUAGAAGUAGAAGUUGGGUCUUUCCGCAGAUUCAAAGCAAUUUGACAGAACGACUUUGAAGGAACCCAGAACCUUCUGCUACAGACUGCAGCGCAAAGUCCCUUUGGUCACGUUCCAAAUUCAGGAGGGGUCUCCCAGCACCUUCUUUAUUUUGUUUAAAUGCAUAGUAUGUAAUUAAAAGAAGAAGAAGGGUGAAGGAA
Lepisosteus oculatus (spotted gar) is the source of this 813-nucleotide long non-coding RNA. RefSeq lists it as uncharacterized. Lineage: Eukaryota; Metazoa; Chordata; Actinopteri; Semionotiformes; Lepisosteidae. The record is from RefSeq and is a predicted model, not a curated record.